GGCUUGGUUGCACUUCCUGAAAUGCUUCCAGAUUUUCUCAGCAGCGUCAUGUAAAAUGACACAGCGUGCCGAAGGACGGAAAGGUGCUUGUCGGACACACUCGGCAAAUCUUCCGAGCACAGCGGAGUGAAGUUUGCAAAACAGGCUGGAGGAAAUUCUGCUCAUCAUUUUAGCCUGCGUUCAUGCUGACUCCACCGGCCACGUGCAAGCAGCCUCCAGGAAUGCAAACCAGGUCUCUUCGAGGGCAUUUCCGGGGGAAGCUGCUUGAGAAGGCAGAAUGAAAGAGCAUCCUUUAAAAGCUCCUUCUGAGCUCUGUGGGCUGGUGGGACCCAGCCCUUCAGUGGGUCCCCCAAGGACAUUUUCCAGAGGAUUCCUCUCACCUGUGGAUGCAUGCAGCCAGGAUACCAGCCCCCGGCAAGCGCUCACCUGCAUUCAGACCCUACGCGUGAAUUUCGCUGAGACGCAGAUGGAAUCACACACUACGUGGCCUUCCGUGUGCAGACAUUCGUGCCCUCCGGCUAAUCCAAGUGUCAACAGGACCCCAUAAAUCUGAUCGUUGUACUCUCCACUUUAGCGACUUUACCUUUAACUUCCGACUCUUGAUUUCAGCUCAGGUCAUGAUCUCUGGGUCGUGAGAUGGAGCCCCACGGGCGUGGGGCUCCAUGCUGAGUGUGGAAUCUUCUUGAGAUUCUCU
Molecule: long non-coding RNA, 694 nt
Organism: Ailuropoda melanoleuca (giant panda)
Lineage: Eukaryota; Metazoa; Chordata; Mammalia; Carnivora; Ursidae
Exons: 3
Source: RefSeq, a predicted model, not a curated record